RNAcentral lists this small nuclear RNA (248 nucleotides) under Pogona vitticeps (central bearded dragon). RNAcentral's name for it is "7SK RNA (ENSPVIG00000000332.1)". It matches the Rfam family "7SK RNA". From Rfam's summary of the family: 7SK was discovered as an abundant small nuclear RNA in the mid-70s but a possible function has only recently been suggested. The record is from RNAcentral. Lineage: Eukaryota; Metazoa; Chordata; Lepidosauria; Squamata; Agamidae.
GGAUAUGAGGGACAUCUGUCACCCCAUUGAUCACCAGGGUUGAUUCAGCUGAUCUGGCUGGCUAGGCGGGUGCCCCCUUCCUCUCUCACUGCUCCAUGUGCGUCCCUCCCAAAGCUGCGCGCUCAGUGGAAGAGGACGACCAUCCCAGAUAGAAAGAGUGUACCGUUCUUCGGCCAAGGGUAUACAAUAGCUGCGCUCAAGGGUGGAACCAGCAGUAGGGAUGGGCUUGGGUGCCUGCAUCCCUCAUU